UAAUUAGCGAAGCUCUGCCUCGUUGUAGGUACCAUAACCCCUGGAUACGUAUUAGAUACUCCGCCCGAUUGAUCUAGGGUUCCGUAACGGCUGUCGUGGUUCUGCCCGACGUAGUCGUUGGAAUGCCGUCUCGGGGAGGAUUAUAACCAGGAAGCCACAAAGGAAAUACCUAAAAUAGCAAUGUAACACAAUGUGACAGCCAAUUAGUCAAAAGCCAGCUGGAGAGCACUGACGGCUUGGAAAAAUGUGGCUAUAAAAGUUACCUAAAAGACGAUGUUUUAAAUUCAAUA
Molecule: long non-coding RNA, 290 nt
Filed under: Helianthus annuus (common sunflower)
Lineage: Eukaryota; Viridiplantae; Streptophyta; Magnoliopsida; Asterales; Asteraceae
Description: hypothetical non coding rna
Source: RNAcentral